Molecule: ribosomal RNA, 612 nt
Filed under: Dynamena crisioides
Lineage: Eukaryota; Metazoa; Cnidaria; Hydrozoa; Leptothecata; Sertulariidae
Description: partial large subunit ribosomal RNA
Rfam family: Bacterial large subunit ribosomal RNA
Source: RNAcentral
AAAAACAUAGCCCUAGAAUUCAUCUAAGGUGUAACCUGCCCAAUGAUUUUUAAUUAUAACAAUCAAAAAUUGUGAAAAAAAAUUAAAAGGACGCGGUAACCUUGACCGUGAUAAUGUAGCAUAAUCAUUCGCCAUUUAAUUGAUGGAUAGUAUGAAUGGUUGAACGAAUAUUUCACUGUCUUAAAAAGAAAUAACAGAAAACUAGAAUAAUAGUAAAGAUACUAUUUAAGAUUGUAAGACGAAAAGACCCUAUAGAGCUUAACUAUAAUCUCUUUAUUAUAACAAAAUUAAAAGUAAAAACAGAGAGAUUGGUAGUUUAGUUGGGGCGACUGUCUUUUAAAAAAAACAAAGACAAGCAAAGAAAAUAAAAAACUUAUUGUAUAAUAUAUAAAUUUAACAAUUAUAAAAAUAGGCUAUAAUGACCCGUUAUUACUACAUAACAAGAAUAACGAUCAAUAAAUAAAAGCUACCUUAGGGAUAACAGGAUAAUUUUAUUCUAGAGACCUAAUCGAAAAUAAAGUUUGUCACCUCUAUGUUGAAUUAAGAUAUCCUGAUAAUGCAGAAGUUAUCAAAGGUAGGUCUGUUCGACCUUUAAAAUCUUACAUGAUUUGA